This 341-nucleotide ribosomal RNA is filed under the name Methyloversatilis sp. RNAcentral's name for it is "bacterial SSU rRNA". It matches the Rfam family "Bacterial small subunit ribosomal RNA", at positions 389 to 721 of the family's 1533-position model. The record is from RNAcentral. Lineage: Bacteria; Pseudomonadati; Pseudomonadota; Betaproteobacteria; Nitrosomonadales; Sterolibacteriaceae.
CAGCCAUUCCGCGUGAGUGAAGAAGGCCUUCGGGUUGUAAAGCUCUUUCGGCAGGAACGAAACGGUGAGCUCUAACAUAGCUCGCUAAUGACGGUACCUGAAGAAGAAGCACCGGCUAACUACGUGCCAGCAGCCGCGGUAAUACGUAGGGUGCGAGCGUUAAUCGGAAUUACUGGGCGUAAAGCGUGCGCAGGCGGUUGUGUAAGUCAGGUGUGAAAUCCCCGGGCUUAACCUGGGAACUGCGCUUGAGACUGCACGGCUAGAGUACGGCAGAGGGGGGUGGAAUUCCACGUGUAGCAGUGAAAUGCGUAGAGAUGUGGAGGAACACCGAGUGGCGAAGG